UUCACAUCAAAAUGGCGCUCGCUCACUCGCUGUGCGUAGAACGUAGUACAUGUGUAAACGUGUAAAUAAAUUGGAGAUAGCAUACAAGAAAACAGAAAGGGUUCGCGGUUCACCUUUUUUGUAACGGUUUCCUCGGCGUCCUUUACAAAGUCCAGUUGAUAUCGUGUCCUGUCCACGUCCAGGGUGGAUCAGACCUGAUCUACAAAAUCUUGGAGCAGCCGCUUUCGUCGUAUGCCAUUAAAAAAAUUAAAACAUGCCCGUUAUUAAAAUUUGGUCAGUAGACCAAACAAUCAAGAAAGCUGUUCCAAUAAUGGACCCAACUUUAAAAAAUAUCAUUGAAAAAGGUGAGUAAAUCUAAAUUAAUUUGACUUUUCGUAAUGAAAUAUUUUUUGUGUAAUUGUAGAAUGUAGUGUAUUGUAGAAUAGACUAUAAUUGGAUACCUACUGUUAAGCAUUAAUGUGCUGACUCAAACCACAUUUAUUUUGCAGUAUGAUGUCAAUUUAAAAAUUUGACGCUUGAAGUUGACAAGAUAGAGCUGAUGCUGAACCCUGGCUGUACCUAGUGGAACUCAGGUUUGGUGCAACAUAGGCCCACGCUAUUUUGAUCAUCCGUCACAUAGAGGGAGAGCAAUACCCAAGAUAUAAUUCAUAAUCCAUUUUCUUCCAGAUGAGGUACCAUCCUAAAUAUAGUAGUUCCAUUUACUAAUCUUAUUAACUUUUUCUUUUCCAGGAACCAUUAACCAGGGUUCAAGUUGCAGAGCUAUCCGAAAUAGCUGCGCCUAACAUUGUAUUUUUAGAUAAUGAAAAUAUAAUUAUAUUACUUGCUGGUAGAAAAAACGAUUGUUAGCGAAACAGAUUCUGCCUACGUCGUUACAACUAUUGAUGGCGGCUUACUGCAACUUGAAUAUGGAAUAUCCAGUGGACUGUCAAAACACAUUAGAAUUUAUACAAAGGUAUAUUUUUAUUAAAAUAAAUCCUAAAGAAGGAAGUCAUAAGUAAUAGUUUUUGAUUUUUAAAAAGCGUUUUUCAAUUAAAAGACAUGUCAAGAUCGCUUAACUUCUUGCAAGUUCUUUCUAAUGCUAAAAAAACUAACUAUAAUUAAUGUCAGUAACAAACAUUUUCAGACAAUUCGUUACUUGAAAUGGUAUAGGUUUCACGCAUUAGAUUCACAUAGGCCUUAUUAACCGAAACUUUUAUAAGACUAAUUCAUAAGAAGUACUUAUGUACAUAAGAUAUAAUUUAUAGUGUCGUAUAUGUCUUCUACUUUUUGUACUCUGUCACAGAAUAAAUAAUAAUAAUAUGCACGUAGACGUGUAUAUACGCGUGUGCUCUAUAAUUUGAGUGUGUGAAAUUCAAUAAAUUUAUUUCUUUGUAA
This is a long non-coding RNA of Cydia fagiglandana, 1374 nucleotides long. RefSeq lists it as uncharacterized. The transcript is spliced from 4 exons. The record is from RefSeq and is a predicted model, not a curated record. NCBI's taxonomy places the organism in Eukaryota, Metazoa, Arthropoda, Insecta, Lepidoptera, Tortricidae.